GUGGGGAAUAUUGGACAAUGGGCGAAAGCCUGAUCCAGCCAUGCCGCGUGUGUGAAGAAGGUCUUCGGAUUGUAAAGCACUUUAAGUUGGGAGGAAGGGUAGUAACCUAAUACGUUGCUACUUUGACGUUACCGACAGAAUAAGCACCGGCUAACUUCGUGCCAGCAGCCGCGGUAAUACGAAGGGUGCAAGCGUUAAUCGGAAUUACUGGGCGUAAAGCGCGCGUAGGUGGUUUUGUAAGUUGGAGGUGAAAUCCCCGGGCUCAACCUGGGAACUGCCUCCAAAACUGCAUGACUAGAGUACGGUAGAGGGUAGUGGAAUUUCCUGUGUAGCGGUGAAAUGCGUAGAUAUAGGAAGGAACACCAGUGGCGAAGGCGACUACCUGGACUGAUACUGACACUGAGGUGCGAAAGCGUGGGGAGCAAACAGGAUUAGAAACCCUAGUAGUCC
RNAcentral lists this ribosomal RNA (450 nucleotides) under uncultured bacterium. RNAcentral describes it as "bacterial SSU rRNA". It matches the Rfam family "Bacterial small subunit ribosomal RNA", at positions 354 to 796 of the family's 1533-position model. The record is from RNAcentral.